Molecule: ribosomal RNA, 300 nt
Filed under: uncultured bacterium
Lineage: Bacteria
Description: bacterial SSU rRNA
Rfam family: Bacterial small subunit ribosomal RNA
Source: RNAcentral
UCCACGCUGUAAACGAUGGACACUAGAUUUUGGUAGUAUCGACCCUAUCAGAAUCGAAGCAAACGCGUUAAGUGUCCCGCCUGGGGAUUACGAUCGCAAGAUUAAAACUCAAAGGAAUUGACGGGGACCCGCACAAGCGGUGGAGCAUGUGGUUUAAUUCGAAGCUAAACGAAGAACCUUACCCAGACUUGACAUCUAGCUGCAUAUCCUAGAGAUAGGAUAGCCUUAGAGGGUGCUAGACAGGUGCUGCAUGGUUGUCGUCAGCUCGUGUCGUGAGAUGUUGGGUUAAGUCCCGCAACG